GCCUGGGUGGCUCAGUCGGUUAAGCAUCUGACUUCGGCUCAGGUCGUGAUCUCAUGGUUCGUGGGUUCGAGCCCCGCGUCGGGCU
Molecule: transfer RNA, 85 nt
Filed under: Felis catus (domestic cat)
Lineage: Eukaryota; Metazoa; Chordata; Mammalia; Carnivora; Felidae
Rfam family: tRNA
About the family: Transfer RNA (tRNA) molecules are approximately 80 nucleotides in length. Their secondary structure includes four short double-helical elements and three loops (D, anti-codon, and T loops). Further hydrogen bonds mediate the characteristic L-shaped molecular structure. tRNAs have two regions of fundamental functional importance: the anti-codon, which is responsible for specific mRNA codon recognition, and the 3' end, to which the tRNAs corresponding amino acid is attached (by aminoacyl-tRNA synthetases). tRNAs cope with the degeneracy of the genetic code in two manners: having more than one tRNA (with a specific anti-codon) for a particular amino acid; and 'wobble' base-pairing, i.e. permitting non-standard base-pairing at the 3rd anti-codon position.
Source: Rfam by way of RNAcentral